RNAcentral lists this ribosomal RNA (254 nucleotides) under uncultured bacterium. RNAcentral's name for it is "partial 16S ribosomal RNA". It matches the Rfam family "Bacterial small subunit ribosomal RNA", at positions 524 to 776 of the family's 1533-position model. The record is from RNAcentral.
CACGUAGGGGGCGAGCGUUGUCCUGCUUUAUUGCGCGUAAAGAGCUCGUAGGCGGUUCGGCAAGUCGGGUGUGAAAUUUCGAGGCUCAACCUCGAAACGCCACUCGAUACUGCUGUGACUGGAGUCCGGUAGAGGAGUGCGGAAUUCCUGGUGUAGCGGUGAAAUGCGCAGAUAUCAGGAGGAACACCAACGGCGAAGGCAGCACUCUGGGCCGGUACUGACGCUGAGGAGCGAAAGCGUGGGGAGCAAACAGG